GUGGACGCCAGUCUGCAUGGAGCCGACCUUGAAAUACCACCCUUUAAUGUUUGAUGUUCUAACGUGGACCCGUAAUCCGGGUUGCGGACAGUGUCUGGUGGGUAGUUUGACUGGGGCGGUCUCCUCCUAAAGAGUAACGGAGGAGCACGAAGGUUGGCUAAUCCUGGUCGGACAUCAGGAGGUUAGUGCAAUGGCAUAAGCCAGCUUGACUGCGAGCGUGACGGCGCGAGCAGGUGCGAAAGCAGGUCAUAGUGAUCCGGUGGUUCUGAAUGGAAGGGCCAUCGCUCAACGGAUAAAAGGUACUCCGGGGAUAACAGGCUGAUACCGCCCAAGAGUUCAUAUCGACGGCGGUGUUUGGCACCUCGAUGUCGGCUCAUCACAUCCUGGGGCUGAAGUAGGUCCCAAGGGUAUGGCUGUUCGCCAUUUAAAGUGGUACGCGAGCUGGGUUUAGAACGUCGUGAGACAGUUCGGUCCCUAUCUGCCGUGGGCGCUGGAGAACUGAGGGGGGCUGCUCCUAGUACGAGAGGACCGGAGUGGACGCAUCACUGGUGUUCGGGUUGUCAUGCCAAUGGCACUGCCCGGUAGCUAAAUGCGGAAGAGAUAAGUGCUGAAAGCAUCUAAGCACGAAACUUGCCCCGAGAUGAGUUCUCCCUGAGACUUUAGGUCUCCUGAAGGAACGUUGAAGACGACGACGUUGAUAGGCCGGGUGUGUAAGCGCAGCGAUGCGUUGAGCUAACCGGUACUAAUGAACCGUGAGGCUUAACCUUACAACGCCGAAG
This 779-nucleotide ribosomal RNA is filed under the name Salmonella enterica. Its description in RNAcentral is "partial 23S ribosomal RNA". It matches the Rfam family "Bacterial large subunit ribosomal RNA", at positions 2164 to 2925 of the family's 2925-position model. RNAcentral also lists the same sequence under 3 other names. The record is from RNAcentral. Lineage: Bacteria; Pseudomonadati; Pseudomonadota; Gammaproteobacteria; Enterobacterales; Enterobacteriaceae.